CUGAAAAACAUCCAAAGUCGUUAUUUUAAUAGAAUUAAACAUACCUGUACCAUUUUCUAUCUGUUUAUGAAAAUACAGAGUGGUUCAUAUUUAAUAAAAAGGAAUAAAUAGUAUAAAGACUAUAUUUUCUUAAUUCACCCCUGAACUGCAAUGUUUACAAUUACUCAUUUCCUGUUUGCAAAGAUUUUGCAUCUGAUGUGUUUCAUUUGAUAUUACACAGUUUUAUUCCGUUUUAACUGUAACGGGAAUCCAUAUCUCCUUUACGAAGAUACUGUGCAUGAUGGGG
RNAcentral lists this long non-coding RNA (286 nucleotides) under Mytilus galloprovincialis (Mediterranean mussel). The record is from RNAcentral. Lineage: Eukaryota; Metazoa; Mollusca; Bivalvia; Mytilida; Mytilidae.